This 465-nucleotide ribosomal RNA is filed under the name Vreelandella stevensii. RNAcentral's name for it is "partial 16S ribosomal RNA". It matches the Rfam family "Bacterial small subunit ribosomal RNA", at positions 338 to 795 of the family's 1533-position model. The record is from RNAcentral. Lineage: Bacteria; Pseudomonadati; Pseudomonadota; Gammaproteobacteria; Oceanospirillales; Halomonadaceae.
CCUACGGGGGGCAGCAGUGGGGAAUAUUGGACAAUGGGGGGAACCCUGAUCCAGCCAUGCCGCGUGUGUGAAGAAGGCCCUCGGGUUGUAAAGCACUUUCAGUGAGGAAGAACGCCUGGUGGUUAAUACCCAUCAGGAAAGACAUCACUCACAGAAGAAGCACCGGCUAACUCCGUGCCAGCAGCCGCGGUAAUACGGAGGGUGCGAGCGUUAAUCGGAAUUACUGGGCGUAAAGCGCGCGUAGGUGGCUUGAUAAGCCGGUUGUGAAAGCCCCGGGCUCAACCUGGGUACGGCAUCCGGAACUGUCAAGCUAGAGUGCAGGAGAGGAAGGUAGAAUUCCCGGUGUAGCGGUGAAAUGCGUAGAGAUCGGGAGGAAUACCAGUGGCGAAGGCGGCCUUCUGGACUGACACUGACACUGAGGUGCGAAAGCGUGGGUAGCAAACAGGAUUAGAUACCCUAGUAGUC